CUACGGGGAGGCAGCAGUGAGGAAUAUUGGUCAAUGGGCGCAAGCCUGAACCAGCCAUGCCGCGCGCAGGAUGACGGUCCUAUGGAUUGUAAACUGCUUUUAUACGGGAAGAAACAACUCUACGUGUAGAGUCUUGACGGUACCAUAAGAAUAAGGAUCGGCUAACUCCGUGCCAGCAGCCGCGGUAAUACGGAGGAUGCAAGCGUUAUCCGGAAUCAUUGGGUUUAAAGGGUCCGUAGGCGGCUUAAUAAGUCAGUGGUGAAAUCCGGCAGCUUAACUGUCGAACUGCCAUUGAUACUGUAGAGCUUGAAUUAUUGUGAAGUAAAUAGAAUAUGUCAUGUAGCGGUGAAAUGCAUAGAUAUUACAUGGAAUACCAAUUGCGAAGGCAGCUUACUAACAAUACAUUGACGCUGAUGGACGAAAGCGUGGGGAGCGAACAGGAUUAGAUACCCUGGUAGUCCACGCCGUAAACGAUGGAUACUAGCUGUUCGGUAGCAAUAUCAGUGGCUAAGCGAAGCUGAUAAG
RNAcentral lists this ribosomal RNA (525 nucleotides) under uncultured bacterium. Its description in RNAcentral is "bacterial SSU rRNA". It matches the Rfam family "Bacterial small subunit ribosomal RNA", at positions 339 to 864 of the family's 1533-position model. The record is from RNAcentral.